Tripterygium wilfordii is the source of this 1767-nucleotide long non-coding RNA. RefSeq lists it as uncharacterized. The record is from RefSeq and is a predicted model, not a curated record. NCBI's taxonomy places the organism in Eukaryota, Viridiplantae, Streptophyta, Magnoliopsida, Celastrales, Celastraceae. The transcript is spliced from 7 exons.
ACGACUGCUCUUCUACCUCUCUUGCUGCCCUUCCCUUUUUGGUUUGCUUCUGUUCUGUUUCCUCUCACUUUUGGGUGUUUCAGUAUGUCUGGAGAAGAGGAAGAAAACGCAGCUGAGCUCAAAAUUGGAGACGAGUUUUUGAAGGCCAAAUGUUUAAUGAAUUGUGAAGUGGCCUUAAUUCUUGAGCAUAAGUAUGAGCAGCUUCAGCAGAUGUCUGAUGAUCCUACGAACCAAAUCUCUCAGGGAUAAGGAAUGGCGGGGAGAUCAUAACUGUGUUGUGGGCUGCACUUUCCUUCUGCUCUUACUUACUUUGCUUCUGUUCGUCCAGCUAAUGCAACUGAGCAAAAGAGGACACAAUUCCAAGAACAGCACUUGGCUAGACACAAAUAUAACUGACUGCUUCAAGACAGUAUGGAAGACUCCUUAUAUCAUGAACCUUGCACUCACUCAGGCCUUCAAGGACUAUUGUUUUGUUGGGGUACAGGUAUCAUCAUCGUAUAUGAUGAAUUCUUUGAUAAUUAAGUUGUGUUUUUGUUUUUGUUGCUUAAUUUGUUUUUUUGUUGGCUAAUUUGUUCUUUCUGAUUAGGUGGUUUCUGUAGAUUAGUUAUGAACUUCUCUGCUUCUAUGAUUAUUUCGCAUCUUUUCAGUAAGUUCUUUUGGGUUGUUUCGCAUCUUUUCAGUAAGUUUUGGGGAGAUGGCAUAUAUGGUGGAUAUGGUUUAAUUCUUUUUUUCUCACUGACAAUAUGAUGCACAUGUGAAUAUUGUAUCUUUGAAUUCCCUUUAUUAAUGUAUCUAUUUUGCUCCAGGCAUACGUACAACUAGAGAGCAGUCGACUGAAACUGACCCAACUUUAUCAAGAGCUCCAGCGAGCUCGCCAGCAAGUUUUGCAGCUCUUAUUUUGGUGUUUGAUUCGGGUUUUGUUUGAGCUUUUGCAAACUUUUAUUUGGUCAUUCCAUUGAUCUGGGUUUCCCCUUCUUACAAAUCUUAGGAUCUUAGAUUAAAGGUUCGUUCUUACUUCCUCUAUUUUAUUCCUUCCUCAAGUUUGUCGGCUUCUGCUUAAUCUCUGGUUUUUUUUUGGGUAUGUUUCCUUGAUUCUUCUUUGUUGCAGGUUGCUACCAAUUUUGUAUCACUUCCUUCACUGUCAUUGCUCCUACGCUGCCACUAUAUCCUUGACGUAUUUUUGGAAGCGGCAUCAUUUGGAUGGCCUUGGUAGAGUUACACGACUUCUUGAAGUUAAAAGAAAGCAGUGGCGAAUAUUAAUUUUAUGACACUGAUAGGGCAUGAGAAGUGGCUAAUUAGCAGUGGUGGUAUGGUGAUCAUCAAUGCCUUUGGAGACGGUAACUACAUAGUCAAGCAAGGAUUGUGGAUCUGGAACAUCCGGGUUCAGCUUCUCAUACUCAAAAGUCCACUUCACCAAGCUUCCGUCACCUUUUGGAGUAGCUUGAACCGUUACCAACAAGUCCUUGUACUCCUUCAACGGAUCUCCGUCAAUCACUCUAUAAGAUGAUAAGUAGUUCACGUCAUCUAUCACUUCCAAUCUAUCCUUUGCAACCUUUGGAACCCCAUCUAGUACCACAACUCCACAACGUUAAUAUAUACCUCAUAAUUAUUUUAAAUUAAGCAACUUUAAUUAGGGAGUGUACAGUGAAUGUCAAACUUGCAUGAUAUCGUUUUUGGUUAUUAAAAAAAAAUGUACAAUCUUAUCAUCAUCUAAUGAUGAUAUGUUCCGUAUUAUUACUAAAAUUGUUCAGAUAGAUUGAGAGAUCA